Molecule: transfer RNA, 58 nt
Filed under: Salmo salar (Atlantic salmon)
Lineage: Eukaryota; Metazoa; Chordata; Actinopteri; Salmoniformes; Salmonidae
Rfam family: tRNA
About the family: Transfer RNA (tRNA) molecules are approximately 80 nucleotides in length. Their secondary structure includes four short double-helical elements and three loops (D, anti-codon, and T loops).
Source: Rfam by way of RNAcentral
UGGCGCAGUUGGUAGAGCAUGGUGUUUGCAAUGCCAGGAUUGUGGGUUCAAUUCCCAC